This 1165-nucleotide long non-coding RNA is filed under the name Olea europaea subsp. europaea. The record is from RNAcentral. Lineage: Eukaryota; Viridiplantae; Streptophyta; Magnoliopsida; Lamiales; Oleaceae.
AGGCUGUAUGCUCCUUUGCGAACCUGCCGUAUGACCUCAAAGGGCCCUUCCCAGACGGGCCCGAGCUUCCCUGGGGGGUGGCCUGCUGCUUCGGCCCUCCUCAAGACCAAAUCGCCAGCUCUGAACCUCCGAGCCUUGACUUUGCGAUUAAAAUGUUUUGCUGUCUUUGCUUGGUAAGAGGCCACUUUUAUAGCGGCUUGCUCCCGUACUUCUUCCAAGAGAUCAAGAUGUUCAGUUGUAUGCUCCGAGGUUUCUGGCACGAGCCUCCUAUGGCUUGGCAGUCUAAUUUCCACUGGGACCAUUGCUUCAACGCCAUAGGCUAACAUAAAAGUGGUUUCUCCUGUGGUUGUCCUAUGAGUUGUUCUGUACGUCCAAAGUAUAGAAGGCAGCUCGUCGGACCAAGAACCCCUAGCAUCGCUUAUUCUUGUUCGGAGGUCUUGCAAUAUGAUUCGAUUUGUUACCUCGGCCAGACCGUUGCUCUGAGGAUGCGAAACUGAUGUCAGACGGUGAUCAAUUCCAAGGUUUGAGCAAAAGUUUCUAAACUGUUGGUUGUCAAAUUGCCUGCCAUUGUCGGUGAUGAGGACCUUUGGUAUCCCAAACCUGCAAAUGAUAGACCUCCAAGUGAAGGCUCUUAGCUUGGGCUCCGAUAUUGUGGCGAGAGGUUCGGCCUCUACCCAUUUUGUGAAGUACUCUACUGCUACAGCAACAAACUUUAAUUGACCUCUUGCCACAGGAAAGGGGCCGAGGAUGUCAACUCCCCAUUGUUCAAACGGGGCCGAACAGUUAAUGUUGGUGAGGUCNUACUUCUUCCAAGAGAUCAAGAUGUUCAGUUGUAUGCUCCGAGGUUUCUGGCACGAGCCUCCUAUGGCUUGGCAGUCUAAUUUCCACUGGGACCAUUGCUUCAAUGCCAUAGGCUAACAUAAAAGGGGUUUCUCCUGUGGUUGUCCUAUGAGUUGUUCUAUACGUCCAAAGUAUAGAAGGCAGCUCGUCGGACCAAGAACCCCUAGCAUCGCUUAUUCUUGUUCGGAGGUCUUGCAAUAUGAUUCGAUUUGUUACCUCGGCCAGACCGUUGCUCUGAGGAUGCGAAACUAAUGUCAGACGGUGAUCAAUCCCAAGGUUUGAGCAAAAGUUUCUAAACUGUUGAUUGUCAAAUUGCCUGCCAUUG